AAGUCAGGCGAGAACAUCCGCUUAGUUUAAGCAUAUAAUUAAGCGAAGGAAAAGAAACUUACAAGGAUUCCCCUAGUAGCGGCGAGAAAACCGGGAAGAGCCCAACAUGAAAAUCGGGCGACAGCGUCACCUGAAUUUUAGUCUAUGGAAGUGUCCUCAACGGUGGACCUAGGCCAAGUCCCUUGGAAGGGGGCGCCUGAGAGGGUGAUAGCCCCAUCAGGCCAGGACCUUGCCACAUCACGAGGCAUUGUCGGCGAGUCGGGUUGUUUGGGAAUGCAACGCUAAUUGGGUGGUAAAUUCCAUCCAAGGCUAAAUACGAGAGAGAGACCGCUAGUGAACAAGUACCCCAAGGGAAAGAUGAAAAGGACUUUGAAAAGAGAGUUAAAGUGUGCUUGAAAUUUCCAAGAGGGAAGUGGAUGGAGGCUGUCGAUGUGUCUUGGUUGGAUGUGGAAUGGCUCGGGCUGGUCCACCGCUCGAAUUGAGGUGCAAACCAACACGCGCUGCUGCAUCAUCAAAAGCGCGGGUGUAUUACUCCUUGUCGGUUUGUCAUUGCAGUGGUCAAGGAACGAAGUGUGCGCCCUUGUGGUGGGCUGUGUGCACCUGCACGCUCGUGGUGUUGGUUCGCGGGCUUUCCGUUCGACGUGUCUUGAAACACGGACCAAGGAGUGUAACAUGUGUGCGAGUUGGCAGGUUUGAAAACCGGCGAGGUGCAAGGAAGUUGAUGGGCGAGAUCCCCUCUCUGGGGGGGUGAAUCGUCGACCGAACUUGUGCUUAUCAAGGGUUCGAGUGUGAGCACACCUGUUGGGACACAAAAUAUGGUGAACUAUGCCUGAACAGGGUGAAGCCAGAGGAAACUCUGGUGGAGGCUCAUAGCGAUACUGACAUGCAAAUUGUUCAUCUGACUUGGGUAUAUGGGUGAAAGAAUAAUCGAACCAUCUAGUAGCUGGUUUCCUCCGAAGUUUCCCUCAGGAUAGCUGGAGCUCACGUGCAAGUUUUAUUGGGUAAAGCAAAUGAUUAUAGGCAUCGGGGGUGUAACGCCCUCGACCUAUUCUCAAACUUUAAUUAGGUAAGAGGGUGCGGCUGCUCCAUUGAGCCGUGCUAUGGAAUUGAGAGCUCCAAGUGGGCCAUUUUUGGUAAGAAGAACUACCGAUGCAGGAUGAAGUGAAAGUCGAGUUACGGUGCCGAAUUGCGUGCUAACUUUGAUCCCACAAAGGGUGUUGGUUGAUUAAGACAGCAGGAUGGUGGUCAUGGAAGUCGAAACCUGCUAAGGAGUGUGUAACAACUCACCUGUCAAAUCAACUAGCCUCGAAAAUGGAUGGUGCUGAAGCAUGCAAUCUAUACUCGACUGUUGGAGCAAUUACUUGGCUCUGAUGAGUAGGAGGAUGCGGUGUCAUUGAGAAACCUCGAGCGUGAGCUUGGGUGGAUCAGCCCCCAGUGCAGAUCUUGGUGGUAGUAGAAAAUAUUCAAAGGAGAACUUUGAAGACUGAAGUGGGCAAAGGUUCCAUGUGAACAACACUUGAACAUGGAUUAGUCGAUCCUAAGAGAUGGGGAAGCCUUGUAUCAAGGGUGCACUCUGCACGAGCAUCGAAAGGGAAUCGGGUUAAUAUUCCCAAAUCGGGACAUGGCAGUGGGCGACAACGUUAGGAAAUCUGGAGAUGUCGACGGGGGCCCCAGGAAGAGUUAUCUUUUAUUUUUAACAGCUUGCCCACCUUGGAAUCAGUUCACCUAGAGAUAGGGUCCAAUAGAUGGAGGAGCACCACACGUCUUGCAGUGUACGGUGUACCCUUGGUAGCCCUUGAAAAUUUGGAGGACCGAGUACCGUUCAUGCUCGGUCGUACUCAUUAACUGCAUCAGGUCUCCAAGGUGAACAACCUAUGGUUAAUAGAACAAUGUAGGUGAGGGAAGUCGGCAAAAUGGAUUCAUAACUUCCGGAAAAGGAUUGGAUCUGAGGGCUGGGCCUAGGGGUCUGCGCCUUCAACUCAUGGGCUGUCGGCAGUCUGCCUGAGCUGUUCUCACUGCGAGGGUGGGUAGUCGCGUGCCGAUUGGGCUAUAGGCGUAGAAUGUCCCCUGUUGGGGGAUUUUCCCUAGGUGGCGGGCGGCGAACAAUAGACUCAGAACUGGUAUGGACAAGGGGAAUCAGACUGUUUAAUUAAAACAAAGCAUUGCAAUGGUCCAUGUGAAUGCUGACACAAUGUGAUUUCUUCCCAGUGCUCUGAAUGUCAAAGUGAAGAAAUUCAACCAAGUGCGGGUAAACGGAGGGAGUAACUAUGAUUCUCUUAAGGUAUCCAAAUGCCUCGUCAUCUAAUUAGUGAUGUGCAUGAAUGGAUUAACGAGAUUCUCACAAUCCCUAUCUUUUAUCUAGCGAAACCACAUCGAAGGGAAUGGGCUUGGUAGAAUCAAGGGGAAAGAAGACCUUGUUGAGCUUGACUCUAGUUUGACUUUGUGAAAUGACUUGAGAGAUGUAGAGUAAGUGGGAGCCAUUUUUGGCGCAAGUGAAAUACCACUACAUUUAACAUUAUUUACUUAUUCCAUGGGGCGGAGACGGGGCACUGCCCUUGUUUUUGGCCUUAAGACACGUUUUGACAUGUCGAUCUGGGCGAAAGACAUUGUCAGGUGGGGAGUUUGGUUGGGGCGGCACAUCUGCUAAAAGAUAAUGCAGGUGUCCUAAGAUGAGCUCAACGAGAAUAGAAAUCUCAUGUGGAAUGAAAGAGUAAAAACUCAUUUGAUUUUGAUUUUCAGUAUGAAUACAAACCAUGAAAGUGUGGCCUAUCGACCCUUUAGAUUUUCAGAAUUUGAAGCUAGAGGUGUCAGAAAAGUUACCACAGGGAUAACUAGCUUGUGGCAGCCAAGCGUUCAUAGCGACAUUGCUUUUUGAUCCUUUGAUGUCGGCUCUUCCUAUCAUUGUGAAGCAGAAUUCACCAAGUGUUGGAUUCUUCACCCACUAAUAGGGAACGUGAUCUCGGUUUAGACCAUCGUGAGAUAGGUUAAUUUUACCCUACUGAUGGACCGCACCACAAUAGUAAUUCAACUUAGUACGAGAGGAAUCGUUGAUUGACACAAUUGGUCAUCACGCUUGGUUGAAAAGAUAGUGGUGCGAAGCUACCAUGUGUCAGAUUAUCACUGAACCGCUGUAAGUCAGAAUCCACGCUAGAAGCAGUGCAUUUCAUUCUUCGACUGUAUCUCAACCCGUAGUAGGGGCGUCGCUUUGUCGCCCCAGGGGCUUGUGUCAUUUGCAAACCGCGACUGUGAAGCAUCUCGUUCGGGGUAGCUUUGAAGUUAAAUUC
Molecule: ribosomal RNA, 3284 nt
Filed under: Pinus taeda (loblolly pine)
Lineage: Eukaryota; Viridiplantae; Streptophyta; Pinopsida; Pinales; Pinaceae
Description: eukaryotic LSU rRNA
Rfam family: Eukaryotic large subunit ribosomal RNA
Source: RNAcentral